CUACGGGCGGCACCAGUGGGGAAUAUUGCACAAUGGGCGCAAGCCUGAUGCAGCCAUGCCGCGUGUAUGAAGAAGGCCUUCGGGUUGUAAAGUACUUUCAGCGGGGAGGAAGGGAGUAAAGUUAAUACCUUUGCUCAUUGACGUUACCCGCAGAAGAAGCACCGGCUAACUCCGUGCCAGCAGCCGCGGUAAUACGGAGGGUGCAAGCGUUAAUCGGAAUUACUGGGCGUAAAGCGCACGCAGGCGGUUUGUUAAGUCAGAUGUGAAAUCCCCGGGCUCAACCUGGGAACUGCAUCUGAUACUGGCAAGCUUGAGUCUCGUAGAGGGGGGUAGAAUUCCAGGUGUAGCGUUGAAAUGCGUAGAGAUCUGGAGGAAUACCGGUGGCGAAGGCGGCCACCUGGACGAAGACUGACGCUCAGGUGCGAAAGCGUGGGGAGCAAACAGGAUUAGAUACCCUCGUAGUC
Molecule: ribosomal RNA, 464 nt
Filed under: uncultured bacterium
Lineage: Bacteria
Description: partial 16S ribosomal RNA
Rfam family: Bacterial small subunit ribosomal RNA
Source: RNAcentral